UUAUUGCAAAGUGCUAUUAAUCCCAUUCCCACUGUCCUUCUGAUUCUUGUGUCACGCAGCUAUGAUUAACUGCAACGUAUAUGAACGCAUAUUCAAGCGUUUUGAUGAAGAUGGUGAUGGGAAACUCUCUCCUUCGGAGCUUCGACGCUGCGUGGGGACGAUAGGGGAGGAGCUGCUCAUGGAGUAGGCGCAGGAGGUGGUGGAGUCGAUGGACUCGGACGGAGAUGGGUUGCUGGGAUUGGAGGAAUUUGUGGGGUGGAUGGAGAGGGAGGGUGAAGAGAGAAAGAUGGAGGAGCUGAGAGAGGCUUUUGGGAUGUACGAGAUGGAAGGGAGUGGGUGUAUUACUGCAAAGAGCUUGAAGAGGAUGCUGAGCAGAUUGGGGGAGUCGAGAAGUGUGGAAGAGUGCUGUGUUAUGAUCAGGCAGUUUGAUGUAAAUUGCGAUGGGGUUCUUAGCUUUGAUGAAUUCAAGCUCAUGAUGCUAUGAUGCUUACAAUUCCUGAGUCUGAAAGUGAAGAUGAUAUUCUUUAUAAGUUGAACAAAAGAGUCUUUCUAUAAAUAGAUAUGAUACCCAUUUAUUUAUUUUUGCGAAGUUAACGAGUCUGUAUGCUUGCUAGGGAGGCUCUCUAUGAAGGGUGAUUGGAGAAGCUUGCCCCAUUCUGGAUUUUCUUAUUUGAAGGAACAUAUGAAUAGUUUAGGCUCUCUUUUCUUAUGAGGCAACAUGCAAUAAUGAUAGUAAACAAUAUUAUAUUUGUAAUGAUAAAAGUUGGGGUGGAGAAUGAAACCGAUCAUCAAAUAAUCAAAUGUAAAGGACCCAACUUGACUCCCUGGUCUCCCCCAAUAUGAGAAAUCAAAUCCCGCCCCCAGGAGGAGCUGGAAAUCCCACUUUUAACAUGAUAUCCGGUUGGUUUCCAAUGCCUUCACUCCAUUCCAAUUUUCGGUCAAUUUUAUAAUUUAUUGUUGAAGUACUUUAAUCAAUGUUUUCAGAACCGGACCGGUGAUCAAACCGAAAAAGUUAUCAGUUCACGGUUAUCAAAUUAAAUCAUAUUAAUAUUUUUAAUUUUAUUAAAUGAAAUAUAUAAAAUAUUUAAAUGUGAAUAUAUUAAAAAUGAAAAUUUAAACUAAUUUUAUAAUUUUUAAAAAUAUUAUAUUAUUUUUUUAAUAUUACAAAAAAAUUUAAAAUCCAAUAUAUAUUAUUUUGUUUGGCAUAUUUGAUAACGAAAAUUGUGUAGUUGAGUGGUGUUCUAGGAUGACUAUAGAAUCUGGGGUCAUGGUUCAAAUCUUCUUGGGUGAGACUUGCUAUUUUUUUUUUCAUUGAUUAGGUUGGUUAGCAAUCCCACAUCGAUUGUAAGAGAAAUGAUGAUGCAAAGGAUGCCUAUAAAAGCUAUGAGGGCCAAUGCUUUACCUCAUCUGGUGGGCUCAAGACUUAGCCCAUAAUAUGGUUGAGUGGGGUAUGGGCUUUGUCAUUAUGAGACAAGGCCUAGGGGCUUUUGCUGAAGCUUUUUAUACAAGGAUCCUUUAAAAUGGUGGUCCAAUUGGAACUGUUUGGUUUGAUUAGAACUGUUCGGUUCCAUUGGGUCAUUGGUUCGACCGUUGGUUUAGGCUGUUUGUGAUCGGUGCAAUUCUUAAAUGGUCCAAUAGAGCAAAUCGGAUUGGAAUUGCAAACGGUUGGAUCGGUCAGUCCAGUCCGAUUUUUAAAAUAUUGAUUUUAACCCUUUCAUCAAUAGCCUUUCACAUCAUCUUCUUUAAUAUGUUUGCAUCAAAGCUUCCGUCACAACACUAAUAUUUAAAAAUUAAAGAUCAGCUAAUCUUUUAUAACCAUAUUAAGAAAUUGAGACAUGACUUAUACCGUAUACUUUCUCUAGAAGUCAAGCCCAAACUUAUUUACUAAAAUUAAAUUAUUUAAUGUACGUUAUUACACCUCUAACCUUUUAUAACCAUCUCUAGAAGUUGAGAAAUGAUUUGUAUUCUAAAGUGUUUCUAGAUGUAGACAAUGAAAUUCUAUAAUAAAGUUUUCUCAUGUCAUUACAUGAUGACUUGCUAAUAAACUUUCUUUAGAAGUUGAGCAAUAACUUAUAGUAAAGUUUUUUAUUAUUAUUCUAUGUGCCUUCUUCCAACAUUUUAUAUUAGAAGGAUAAAUAUAAAAAAAAUUAAAGUUAAAGGAUAGUAAUUGUUUAAAAUAUGAUUAAUUAGAAAAAUAUGAAAAAUAAUUAAAAAUAAAAGGAUGAUAUAAAUUUAAAAUAGAAGAUAAAUUAAAAAAUGAGGAUAAAGAAAAAAAAAGGCAAAAUUUUCCAUAUUUUGUCUAUUGUCAAAUUUUUUUGACGAUUUUUAUGGCAUCGUUUCGGCGACCUCGGAUGUCCUAUGUUUCCUCGAAAUAUCUGUGAAAUUUCCCAAUUUUUCAAACCAUGUUUCCAAUGGACGUGUGCACGUAGAGGAAAAGGGCAAAGGACAAAAAGACUAUGAAUGGCGGCUUUUGAAUCUUUUGACCGUUGAAGACUGCAAUUCCACCUUAAAACUGGCAACUUCUCUCCUUCUUCCUUUCCUUAACAAAACCUGCAAAACACGCACUCCAUGACAAACCCAACACUCUCUUCUCUUUAUUCUCCCAGAGCUUCCUAGUAGAGUCUUCCCAGCAGCUCAAGUCCUUUCACGCGUCCCCACAAAACUAUAUGUACACACAAAGUGCUAUCACAUCUUCUCAUCUUCUCAUCUUAUUAUCAAGUGUUAUCCAAUUCCACAUUUGCGGUACUAACAUUCUUGUGUGGCCCGGUCAUGAUUAAUUGCAAUGUGUAUGAACGUCUUGUCAAGCGUUUUGAUGAAGAUGGUGAUGGGAAACUCUCUCCUUGGGAGCUUCAACGCUGCGUGGGGUCGAUAGGGGAGGAGCUGCUAAUGGAGGAGGCCCGAGAAGUGGUGGAGUCAAUUGACUAAGACGGAGAUGGGUUGGUGGGGUUGGAGGAAUUUGUGGGGUGGAUGGAGGGAGAGGAUGAAGGAGUUUAGAGAGGCCAUUGGGAUGUACGAGAUGGAUGGGGGUGGGUGUAUUACUCCAAAGAGCUUGAAGAGGAUGCUGAGCAGAUUGGGGGAGUCAAGAAGUGUGGAGGAGUUUUGAUGUAAACGGGGAUGGGGUUCUUAGCUUUGAUGAGUUCAAGCUCAUGAUGCUCUGAUGCUUCCAGAGUUGAACAAGAGUAACUUGUAAACCAAGAUUCUUUCUGUAUAAAAUAGAGGAAUAUAUUCAUUUAUUUUUUGCAAAGUUAGUGAGUCUAAUGCGCCAACAUUGCCAUAAUGAUAAUCAACAACAUUAUCUUUUCCUUAUGAAUGGCAUUAAUUUUAAAAGGGACAAUUGUGUUUUGGGCCGGCCAAAAAAUUAAGGUUUGGUCCAUGUAAUUAAAGUUUGGUCCAUAUAACUUAUAUAAUUGAUGGAAAGGAUAUAAGAUAUCAAAAAACCAAAAUACUCGUUGACAUUUUACAUAAAUUUUAUUGGUCUUUAUUGCACUGUUCAUGCAACCAUAAUAAUUCUAUUUUAAUCAUUUGGAUUUUUCAUUGUUUUAAAAAAAAAUUAUAAAUAAUUGAAAAUCAACAUUAUUUUCUAUUUUAAAUUAUAAAUAAAAAAAAUUACUUUCAAAAACUAUUUUAAAAAAUACUUUCUAAAAAAAUGGUAAUAUGAUUUAUAUUUUUUAAAUUUUCUUUUUGAAAAAACAUUUAAUUAAAAAAUGAAAACUAUUUUUAAAAAUAAAAAUUGAAAACCUUGUUUAAUACUAUUUUUUAUAUGAAAAUAAUAAUAAAUUUUAAAUUUCAUUCAUUGAUUCUCCAUUAAAUUUUAUAUGAAAUUUUUUUAUCCUUAUUUAUAAUAUGCUAUACGAAUCUUUGGUCAAUUUUUGGGUCCAACUUGACCAAAACAUAAUUCUCCUUUGGCCAAUUUUUGGGUCCAACUUGACCAAAACACAAUUCUCCCAUUUUAAAAACUAGCUGAGAGAGGAACUAAUCAUCAAACGGAUCAACGUACGAUGAAGGACCCAACUUGACUUUUAAUAUAUUAUAAGGUUUGGAUUCCUAUUAACCGGCUUAUAACUUUUCUACAUGCCUUUACGUAUCGUGUUCUAUGGGGUUUAUGUCUAGUCAAAUAUAUAUUUCUAGAAAAGCAUGGGUCUCAUACCAUCCCGGGACCUGUGGGUACGUCUGGUGCUAAUCAUGACCGAGGAGCCAAUUAGCUAGGUGGCCUGAAACCAACUCAGAAGUAGAGGAUCCUUCUAUCUAUACAUCACAUGUGGAGCUAUAUAUCCACGAGAUUAUGGAACGGAAAGGUUGAUCAUAUGAUUAUUCUAGAAUCCAUCAGAAUAUUACAAAUGAUGCAAUAUAUCAUAGAAAACGAAGGAAAAUCUUGUAAGAUACAAACAUAAAUGAUUUUUUUUAACCCAACAUCAAGUGCAUCCUCUCUCAAUUGAUCCAAAAAGAAAACAUAUAGGAACGAAAAAAAAGAAGCGAGAAUGUAAAUCUUAUCAAAAUGAAACUUAGACUUGAUUCUAUAGAAUUGAAACUAUUCAAAUUGUAGUGAAUUUAUGUUUAGGGUUAUAGUUUUAAGACAAAGUAAGAUGUUAAUAGGUGAUUAUGAGGAGACAAAGAAGUGUUUUUGAUGAAGGAAAUGAUAAAUGCAAAGUUUCAAAAAAGAGUGAUGGUUGUUGGGAGAAGAAGAACAAAUGGUGGAUUUGAGAGAGAGAGAGAGAGAGAGAGAGAGCAAUCGUUUUUCUUCUCUCCUCGUCUAAUUUUUGUUUUUAAAUUUCAAGGGUUUAAAUCCUAUUUAUUUGAGAGUAUUUUUGUUUGAGGUAGACAUCUUUCAUAUUUUAGAAGGAGGAAGGUUAUUUGUACAAGCAUGGAUAUCAAUGAAAACCUUUUAACCGAUAAAAGUAUAAAUUUAUUUUAUAUCUUUAAAAAUUAUUAUAAACAAUUUGAAAAUUUAACUUAGUAACAAAUUUUUUAUUCCUAAUUUUUUAAAAUAAUUUUUAUUUUUUCUCUUUAUUUUAUGUAGGUGCAUAUUUUCUUCACAUUUUCUCAGGAAAGAAACAUGGCCUAGGAUGCUGCUGAUACCAAAAAUCUUGUUAGACUGUGCCUGCCAAUUAGGCUAGCUUGCUUGAUUAUGAAGCUACUGAGAAGUAGUAUCUCAUUUGAAUUCUUGCGGGGAACCCCUAUUAGGCCAACGCUCACUUUGAAAAUUUUCUAUUAAUAUUAAUGAUGAAUUGAAGGUUAUUAAUUAUCAUUAUUUUCCAACAUUGAACUACAGGUCCUGUACAUGGAAUAAGGGAAGAGGAGUAAAAAAAAAAAGGGCAAAAUGAACUACAGUCUUUUUGACCGUGACCGUGAUAGAUUAAUGCAUUUCCAUCUCAGAACCUCGCAACUUCUGACUUUCUUCCUCCAUAAACCUGUCAAACACUCCAUCACACCAAACACGCCAUUCUUCUCAUACUCGAGGCUCCAGUCCAUUUACGCGUCCCAUAAAAAGCUGUAUAUAUACUAUCACUCACAGAUUGUUGUUCACAUGUUCUCAUCUUAUUGCAAAGUGUUAUCAAUCCCAUUCCCACUGUCCUUCUGAUUCUUGUGUCGCGCAGCUAUGAUUAACUGCAACAUAUAUGAACGCAUAUUCAAGCGUUUUGAUGAAGACGGUGACGGCAAACUCUCUCCUUCAGAGCUUCGACGCUGCGUGGGGACGAUAGGGGAGGAGCUGCUCAUGGAGGAGGCGCAGGAGGUGGUGGAGUCGGUGGACUCGAACGGAGAUGGGCUGCUGGGAUUGGAGGAAUUUGUGGGGUGGAUGGAGAGGGAGGGUGAAGAGAGAAAGAUGGAGGAGUUGAGAGAGGCUUUUAGGAUGUAUGAGAUGGAAGGGAGUGAGUGUAUUACUCCAAAGAGCUUGAAGAGGAUGCUGAGUAGAUUGGGGGAGUCGAGAAGUGUGGAAGACUGCAGUGUCAUGAUCAGACAGUUUGAUGUAAACGGCGAUGGCGUUCUUAGCUUUGAUGAAUUCAAGCUCAUGAUGCUGUGAUCGAUCGAUUCUUCCCGAGUCUGAAAGUGAAUAUGAUAUUCUUUAUAAGUUCAACAAAAGUAUAUUGUAAACCAAGAUUCUUUCUACAAAUAGAAUACGAUGCCCAUUUAUUCAUUUUAUGCGAAGUUAACGAGUCUCUAUGCUUGCUAGGGAGGCUCUCUAUGAAGGGUGAUUGGAGAACGUACCUUGCUCUAUUCUGGAUUUUCUUACUUCAAGGGAUCGUGCUCUAAAGGCUUUCUUUUCGGUCAACAAUAUGAUAUAUUAUUUUUUAUUUGAGAUGAAUUAGGCUAACAAUCCCCACUCAACCACAUAGAUAUUGUCAAUUUUGGGUCCAAAGGGACCUUACAGCUUUAAAACAUGUUUAUAAUGAAUCAAUAUUUACAUAAUAUUAGGAACUUUUCCCCCUAUCUGAUGUGGAAUGUCAUAAACACUUUUCAUGUAGACACAAUAUCCUUGUUAUAUCCUAAGGAAUUGCGAGGUUAAACAAAUAAACACCCUUAUAAGAGUAAACAAACCCUCAUACUAAGGUCGAAGAUCAGCUCUUUGUAAUGAUUUUCUCACAGCUGUAUAAAUAUUAUCCGCUUUUGACCAAAAGCGGAUAAUAUUAAUAUGAUUUGAUACAAAUCAUUACAAAUAGUAUUAAAGUUAAGGUUCAAAGCGGAAGAUAUCUAUAUAAUUAAGUGUGGAUUAUUAUAAUUAGAAUAUUGAUUGAUCCUAAACCAAAACGCCAAAAAAGAAAUCACCUUUUGUGAUGGUAAAAGUAGGGGCGGAGAAAGAACCAAUCAUCAAAUAAUCUAAUGUCUCUUGUGGAUUAAUUCGUGUUCACACCUUGUCAUAUAUUUUACCAUUAUCCCUAAAUAAUAAUUAAUAAGCUAAACUUUGGAUCAAAUUUUUUAGAUGAUUAAUCUAAAUGAAUCUCCCUACAGGAGAAUGCAAUAUAAAUCUUAUCACUACAAUAGAGAUAAAAAAAUCUCAUAAAACCUUGUAUAAAACACCCCUAAACAAUUUUGAAACAAAAAUAAUUGUGACUUAAAAAUAAUUAUAUUUAUUGACAGUGGAUUGUGACAAUUCAUGUACCCUUUUGGGUUCAUUGACCCUUGCAAGUUUGGAAAGAUGAAUUGUCUUCUAUGAGUAGAACUACUUGCACCUAAAAGGGAAACCAAUUACUAAAUGGCCCAAUACAUCACUCAAAAUUAGAAAUUCUUCUUUGGAAAAAAUAUUUAAUCAAAUGAAAAAGACUUCCAAAAGAGUAGAGCUUAUUGACAGUUGAGGAAAGCAUUGUGGCAAUACAUCACAACUAAUACAAAGGUUCCAUUGGAGGUAUCUAUUAUUUUGCUAUUAUCUAUAAUCUUGAAGGUUAUGUUUUGUUUGGUUCUUAAAAUAUUUGAAGGAAAAUAUGAGAGAAAGAAAAUAGAAGGAAAAAGUAGAAGGAAAUAAAAAUCAAAGAACAAUAAAAAUAGAUUUAAAGUCAAUAAAUUUUUUUAUAUAUUUCUUCAAAUUUAUUUGACCUAUUUUCCUACAUUAUACAAAGAUUAAAUAGUUUUAAAAUUCAUAAAUAUUUAACUAAUUAUAAUUUUUAUUUUCAUAUUUUUCAUUGUGAAAUUAAAUAUAAGAAAACCAUUUUUCUCAAAUUUUUUUUCUUCUGUUCUUAGUAUUUUUUGAAAACCAAACAUAGUUGAAGUGCAGAGAGGUACUUUGAGCAACUUUUGAAGUAGGCAGAGGUAUUUGGAGCAUCAUUGAGAUGCUUGGAGGAGUUGAAACAACUUUGAUUUGCUUGGCACAACUUAGAGAUAGUUAAAGAUGCUUGAGGAGCUUAUUCUAAUGUCAUAUUGCAAAGACAUAAAUGGGAUCCUUCAUAUGGAAAAAUUGGAGACUCUCUAACCUUUUAUAACCAUAUGGAGAAGUCGAGACAGAACUUAUAUUGUAAACCCCCGGUAGAAGUCGAGUACAAACUUAUUUGGUAAAUUACAACAGCAGAAGAAAAAGAACAAAAAAUAUGCACCUAACCCCUUCCCAUGUGAUCAAGAAAGUUGGAUGAGAUUUAUUUUCGUGAAUAUUAACAUUAAAAAAGUAUUCUUAUUUUAUAUAAAAUAUCACGUAAAAUUUUAUAAAACCUAUCCAAUUACUAAACAAAUCAAGGGUCUGUUCCAAAAAUAUAUAUAUAUUUUCCAUGGGUGGAAAUAUCUCAAAAUGGUAAUAAAAAAGCCACAUUUAAUUUACUAAUAUAAAAAAGUCCACACACGAUGAAUCUUUUCUACCUCGUGUCUUAGGCAGAUAGAAGGGAGUAGGAGACCAAAAAGACUAACUAGCUUUCUGUGGCGGUUGAGUGUUUUGACCGUUGUAGAUGUAAUUCUAUCUCAAUUUAAUCCAGGCAGCUUCUCACUUUCUUCCUCCAAAAAAUCCAUCAAUUACGCACUCCCUGACACCAUGAUCAAUACUUUCUUCUUCUCAUCUUCAACUUCAAGACUUCCAAGUUCCAAUCCUUUUACGCGUCUCAUAAAGCUAUAUAUAUAUAGACUCAAUUGUUAUUCACAACACUCCAAGAAUCCAAUUUCUUGCGAUAAGCAGCCAUGAUUAACUGCAGCAUAUAUGAACGCAUAUUCAAGCGCUUUGAUGAAGAUGGAGAUGGGAAACUCUCUCCUUCGGAGCUUCGACGCUGUGUGGAGACGAUAGGGGGAGGAGCUGCUGAUGGAGGAGGCGCAGGAGGUGGUGGAGUCGAUGGACUCAGACGGGGAUGGGUUGGUGGGGUUGGAGGAAUUUGUGGGGUGGAUGGAGAGAGAGGGCGAAGAGAGAAAGAUGGAGGAGUUGAGAGAGGCUUUUAGGAUGUAUGAGAUGGAAGGGAGUGAGUGUAUUACUCCAAAGAGCUUGAAGAGGAUGCUGAGUAGAUUGGGGGAGUCGAGAAGUGUGGAAGACUGCAGUGUUAUGAUCCGACAGUUUGAUGUAAAUGGGGAUGGGGUUCUGAGCUUUGAUGAGUUCAAGCUCAUGAUGCUUUAAUAUUGUUGGAUCAUCUUUUAUGUGAAUGUUGUAUUCUUUUUAGAUUUAAAAACAGUGGAUUGUAUUCAAGAUUCUUUCUAUACAUAGGAUUAUAUAUGAUUUUUUCUUUGUUUUUGAGUCAAUAAUGUUUAUGUUUUGUGAAUGAAUGAUUGUUUGGGGGCAAUCUUUAAGAGGAUGUUUGGAACUGUGAACCAAAUUUUGUAAGUCAUAUGAAAGGUCAGCUGGCUUUGCAUCCAGUACAGAUGGAACUUCAUGUGAAUGUUAAAAGUAAAUUACUUACAAAGUAAAGAGGAGUCAAAUUCAAUUUCUAGGAUGGUCAUUUUUUUUGUAAUAAAUAUAUAACAAAAUAAUUAUAAUCUUAAUAUAGCAUGAGCAUUAAUUAAAAUCAAUUUAAAUUAGAAAGUUAUCCUUUCCAUGGUUAGAACAGCUAAAACUCUAGGGUUUGGAACUAUUUUUAAUAAUGGUUUUCUGUUCUCUAGAGUAAAAAAAUUAUAGAAAAUCAAUCAAAAAUUAUUUUCUGUUCUCUGUUCGAACAAAAAUCAAGAUGUUUUCAAAAACCAUCUUUUAGUUGUUUUUUAUUGUUACAUUUGCUUUUUUUUUUUUUUGAAGGUUUUUUUAAGAAAUAAUUAUAUAAACAUAUAAAAUGAUUAAAAAUAAAAUACUAAAUGUAAAAAUUAUUUUUAAAAUUAUUAAAACAAGUUAAAAAUAUUUUUCAAAUAUUUUUAAUUACUCUAUUUGAAUGAAUCAACUUAACUUAUUUGAAAGAAUGAAUAAGUAAAAAUAAAUAAAAAUGUUGAUAAAAUAAAAUUAUAAGAGAUGAAAUUAUAUGGAGAAUAUGAUAUCUAUUCUUCCAUUUAAAGUAAAUAUAAUAUAUAUACAAAAUUCAAAUGAUUUAUAGAACAUAUAAUCACUUCACAAAAUAAAGUUUUAAAAUAUGUAAAAAUAAAAAGACCUAGCAUUGAAAGAAAAUUAAUAAAAGUAUUAAUUUAAAAAAAUUAAGCUUAAAAUAAUAAUAAUAAUAAUAAUAAUAAUAAUAAUGAAUUAGGCUUUCAAAAUUAUUUAGAUAAUAAAAUUAAGCAAAAGAAUUCAUAACUAAAGACUAAGGUGAUAUUUUUUUAAAAUUUUUGUUGAAAAUAAUUUGUUUUUGGAUUUAAUAUAAUUUUUUUAAUUUAUUAUUUAUUUCUAUUUUUUUUAUUGAAAUGAAAAAGUUAAAAUAUUUAACUUUUUUUUAAUGCUAAAAGUGCAUUAUCAUAAUUAAAGUAAUUUUUUUUUUUUUUACUUUUUAAUGCUUAAUAAAAAUAAUUAAAAAAACAAACAAUUUAAUACAUAACACUAUUAAACACCUUUUAGUUUUAAAUUCUAUUUAGAAUAAAGUCAAAAAAUUGAACACUACCUAACACUUUACGUGACAUCCCACAUCAGAUAUGGGGGGAAAGUUCUUGGUAUGGACUCAUCGUAAUCCUGUAAACACGUUUUAAAGUUGUGAGGGUCUCUUUAGGUCCAAAGCGGAUAAUAUUUACACGGUUGGGAGCAGACCAUUACAAACGAUAUCAAAACCGAUCCCUGACCUCGGUGUGAGGUUUGUUUGAGCUUAUAAGAGUAUUUGUUUGUUUAACCCCAUAAUCCCGUAAGACACAACGAAAACGUUGUGUCUGCAUGGGGGUGACUUUUAAAGUCGUGAGGUAUCUACACCAUAUAAAAUAAAUAAGUAGAAAUAUUAUUAGUGUAAUUGAAUUUUAUAUUUUGAAAUUAUAUUGAUAUUUAAAAAAAAUAGUUAAAUAAAAAUUAACUUCCGAUAUUGUAUUUUAAAAAAAAUGCACAACUCUUCCUACCUUUUUUUUUUAGUACAUCCAUAAAUCAAGUUAAAAGUUAGCGGGUUGAUUAAAAGUUAGCAAGUUGAUGUUUGAAAAUUCUAUCCACGUGAUAUUUGAUGUUAAAAGAAAUGGAACUUUAAUAUGUUUAAUAAUUUAAAUUAAGUGAUUAAAUUAUUAAAUUAAGUUAUCAAAUAUUUUUAAAAUUUUCUAAUGUGUUAAUUAUGAUAAAGAAAUUAUUUUUCCAUCUUAUGUAAAAAAAAUAUUUGAUAAUAUAUUAAAAAUAAAUGUAAUUGGGAAAAAGUUUAGAAGUUGUGUCAUUCAUCCAUGCUGAGGUGUAGGUGGCAGUGUGUAGAAGUAGAUAGGUUGUUUGAACUUUGAAACUAGUUCUGACGUUAGCUUGUUGUUCUACAGAAGACCACUAUUUUUUAUUUUAUUUUUUAUGUUUUAAUUUUGUAAACAUGUUUCUCGUUUGUCGCACCAUUCCCACCACAUGUCCAAGUGGAUUGAAAAAGCAAAAGGCCAGAACAAAGUAUUCGUCUACGAAGCGGUUUUGACCGUUGUACAGUCAAUAAUCUAGAACAUACGCAUUACGUGACGUCUCCAGCACUCGCUUCGCUUCAUUCUCCAGAACUUCCUAGUAAAGUCUCGAUUCUUCACUCUCAAAAUCUCUAUACCCAACAGCUCCAUCUACUCCUUUUACGCGUCCCCACAACAGCUAUAUAUAUGCACACACAAAGUGUUCAUCCUCACAUCUUCACAUCUUACUACAAAUUAAGUGUUAUUUACAUUAAUUUUCAUUAACAUCCUUGUGUUGCCACAUCCAUGAUUAACUGCGAUGUGUAUGAACGCAUUUUCAAGCGCUUCGAUGAAGAUGGUGAUGGGAAACUCUCUCCUUCGGAGCUCCGAUGCUGCUUGGGGACGAUAGGGGAGGAGCAGCCGAUGGAGGAGGCGCAGGAGGUGGUGGAGUCGAUGGACUCGGACGGAGAUGGGUUGCUGGGAUUGGAGGAAUUUGUGGGGUGGAUGGAGAGAGAGGGUGAAGAGAGAAAGAUGGAGGAUUUGAGAGAGGCCUUUAGGAUGUAUGAGAUGGAAGGGAGUGGGUGUAUUACUGCAAAGAGCUUGAAAAGGAUGCUGAGUAGAUUGGGGGAGUCAAGAAGUGUGGAAGAGUGCAGUGUUAUGAUCGGACAAUUUGAUGUAAAUGGGGAUGGGGUUCUGAGCUUUGAUGAGUUCAAGCGCAUGAUGCUUUAAUCUUGUUUAACAUCUUUUAUCUGAAUGUUGUAUUUUUUUUUUUAGAUUUAAGAAGAGUGGUUUGUAUUCAAAAAUUAAGAUUCUCCUCAUUGCUUUCCUCGUGCACAUGGUGAAGAAAAUACUCCCUAUUCUAUAUUUGAUUUUGCAUAAAAAUUCCUUUUACGGCAAAGAGCAAGUGUGAUAAAAUUUAAGUUGAUUUUUAAAUUAAAUUGUUAGUUCAAAUCAUUUUCUCUCUGUGUUUGUAAAAUACUCAUAUUAAAAAUAUUAUAAAAAUACAUAAUAUUAUUACAUAAAAUAAUAAUGAAAUAUAUAUCAUGGAAAAAAUGAAGUAUUAAAUUAUUUUAUAUUUUUAAAAAGUUAUUUAGUCUAAGUUAUUGUUUUGCAUUAUUUUAACUUUAAAUUAUAUAGAAUUAAUUUACCAAUAAGCCUAGACCCCAUUUGAAAUAGAGUUUAACUUUUGCCCUAAUAAUAAAUAAGUAGAAGUAUAAGUAUUAUUAGUGUAAUUGAAUUUUAUAUUUUGGAAUGAUAUCUAUCCCCGCAAAUUUAGGCAGUCUUGUAAAAUAAGUAAAACUAUUGAAAAAAUAUGAGAAUAAAAAUUUUGCAUUAAAAUAAUUAUCGGGGUGCACAAUCCAUAGGACGAUAAUGAAUUGGAGUUCAAGAUCAAUUAAGGACCUUUUUUUUUUUUUUUUAAGUGGGAAGUUGUUUUUCACAAUUUUAUCAUUGAAGGAAGUUAUCUGUAUUUGUAAGUGAAGUUAGAGAAUUAAAUUUGGAAUACCGAAGAUUUGAUUAUUUAAUUCAAGAAGUUUGGUUUCUUAAAGUUAACAACUUGUCUAAUUUAUUUAGGAAAUUAGUCAAUAAGAGAAUAUUUAUUUUCAAUUUUCUUUUGAUUUUGUCUUUUUUUAUUGAGGAAAUUUGUUAAUAAAAAAUAUAUAUUUUUAAUUCUCUCCUAAACUUUAAUGAUUUGAUUUAAUUUUAUUUUGUAAUACUUCUAAAUUUCAUGAGGUGUCACAUUUGAAUAGUCAUAGAAGUGCCUUCACAAAUGUAAAUAUAAUUACAUUUGAUCUCAUUGUAACCAUAUCGAGAAGUCGAUACACGACUCAUAUUGUAAACUCUCCCUAGAAGUUGACUACACACUUAUUUGGUAAAUUACAAUAGUAAAAGAAAAAGAACACAAAAUAUGCACCUAGCCCAAAGUUGGAUGAGAUUUACUUUUGUGAAUAUUAACAUUAACACUAUGUUUGGUUCAUAGAACAUUUGAGAGAAAGAAAAUAGGUAAGAAUCGAAAUAAAAAAAAAAGAAAAAGUUAAGAAAAAUAAAAAAUAAAGUUGAAGUCGAUAAAUUAUUUUUAUUUACUACUAUAAACUCAUUUUAUUUAUUUUAACUCAUCAGUAUAAGGAUUAAAUAAUUUAAAUUUUAAAAAUGUAUAAAUUUUUAAUUAAUUUUAAUUAUAUUUAAUUUUCUUGAAAAUUGUUUCUAGAACAAUCAAAUAUAAGAAAAUCAUUUUUUUAAAUAUUUUUUUUAAUACUUUUCGUGCACCAAAUAUAACUUAAAAGUAUUUUUAUUUUUUAUAUAAAAUAUCACUAUCCUAUUAUUAAACAAAUCAAGGGUCUGUUUAAAAAUAAAUUAUUUUCCAUGGGUAUAAAUAUCUCAAAAAGAUAAUAAAAAAGCCACAUUUAAUUUACUAAUAUAAAAAAGUCCACACCUGAUAAAUCUUUUCCACCUCAUGUCUAGGCAGAUAGAAGGGAGAAAGAGACCAAAAAGACAAACUAGCUUUCUGUGGCGGUUGAGUGUUUUGACCGUUGUAGAUGUAAUUCUAUCUCAAUUUAAUCCAGGCAGCUUCUCACUUUCUUCCCCCAAAAAAUCCAUCAAUUACGCACUCCCUGACACCGUGAUCCAUGCUUUCUUCUUCUCAUCUUCAACUUCAAAACUUCCAAGUUUCCAAUCCUUUUAUGCGUCUCAUAAAGCUAUAUAUAGACUCACAAAUUGUUAUUCACAACACUCCAAGCAUCCAAGUUCUUGCGGUAAGCAGCCAUGAUUAACUGCAGCAUAUAUGAACGCAUAUUCAAGCGCUUUGAUGAAGAUGGUGAUGGGAAACUCUCUCCUUCGGAGCUUCGAAGUUGCGUGGGGACGAUAGGGGAGGAGCUGCUGAUGGAGGAGGCGCAGGAGGUGGUGGAGUCGAUGGACUCAGACGGGGAUGGGUUGGUGGGUUUGGAGGAAUUUGUGGGGUGCAUGGAGAGAGAGGGCGAAAAGAGAAAGAUGGAGGAGUUGAGAGAGGCUUUUAGGAUGUAUGAGAUGGAAGGGAGUGGGUGUAUUACUCCAAAGAGCUUGAAGAGGAUGCUGAGUAGAUUGGGGGAGUCGAGAAGCGUGGAGGAGUGCAGUGUUAUGAUCAGGCAGUUUGAUGUUAAUGGCGAUGGGGUUAUGAGCUUUUAUGAGUUCAAGCUCAUGAUGCUUUAAUAUUGUUUGAUACCUUCCACAUGAAUUUUAUAUUCUUUUUAGAUUUAUAAAGAGUGAUUUGUAUUCAAGAUUCUUUCUACAUAAGGGUCUCCAACGGGCCGGGCCGGGCCGUCCGGCUCGGAGGAGUAAGACCCAUGGCCCAGCUCGAGGCGGGCCACUGAGUCAACGGGCCAGGCCGGGCCGGGCCCUUGGUAUAUCUAAGGCCCGUGGCCCAGCCUGUGGGCCCUCAAGCUGGGCGGGCCGACUGGGGAAAAAAUUAAAAUAGUUUUUAGUUUUGAAGGGAAGAGGUUCGAAAUCCCCUUCCCUUAUGGAUCCAUAAGGGAGCUAGCCACCAACUGAGCUAGUCCUCUUUUGUGUAACUAUUUUGCAUUAGUUAUAUAUAUAUAUAUUAGAAAUGUUGUAUGAUUUUUGAAAAAAUAUAAAAGUGAGUUGGCUGUUCAACGGUCACAUGACUCACAUGACCGUUGAACAUGUCUGCCACUCAAUUCAAUAUUAUGACCGUUGAACGAUCUUGAUUAAAAAAAAAAGAAAUAAUAAAUCCUAAUAUUUAAAUCUCUAUAAAUAUUAAAUACCCUCAAUUUUUUUCUAUUCUCUCAACUCUUAAGCUCUCUCCCAUUCCACAAUAUUUCCGAUUAUUGCAUUUUAUCUCAAAUUAUUCAAUAUUAUUGAUGGUGAAAAACAAGCAUUGGUGGUUCAAAAAGUUCAAAUUUGAAGGAAUUUCUGCUUCGGUUCUCUAAUUUAGUAACAUACUUCACCUUUACUUUUAUUUAUUUGUUACAUUUUAAUUUUACAUUUAUUAUUUUUAGCAUAAUAUUUUAUCAAUAAUUAUAAUUAUGGCAAGUGGUUCUUGUUCUUCAUCUAAUACAUGUGAUAGCAAAAAAUUUACAUCAAAUAUAUGGAAUUUUUUUGAUAGAAUAGAAAUAAAUUUAGAAAAUAAUAAAAAAGAAAUAAAAGCAAAAUGUAAAAUUUGUAACAAACUUCUUAGUGGUGGCUCAAAUGCAGGUACAAGUCAUUUAAAAAGGCAUCAUGAAAAUUGUAAAACUAAAAAUAAUGUAGAUAUUAGAAAUUAUAUGCAAUUAGGUAAAGAUGAAAGUGGAAAUUUAAAAACAUUUUCUUAUGAUGAAUCUUAUUGUUGUGAAGAAAUGAUUGGUUAUAUAAUAAGAGCAGAACAACCUUUCAAUUUCAUGGAAACUCAUGAUUUUACGGGAACAAUGCAACGAGCUGUUAAUCCUCAGUUUUAAGGUUGCUCUGGAAAUACAGUUAAAAGAAUUCUUAUAAAAAAUUUUGAAACACAAAAAGAAAAUUAAAAAUUUUUUUUUGCAAAUUUUGAAGAAAGAAUUUGUUUAACAUCUGAUAUUUGGACAUCUUUAACUCAUAGUGGUUUUUUUAUAUAUAACUGCUCAUUAUAUUGAUAAUGAAUGAAAAUUAAAUAAAAGAAUUAUUUCAUUUAAAAUAAUAAAUGCUCCAUAUAAUGGUAAAAAUAUAGCAUCUUUAAUAAAUGAUGAAAUUAUAGAUUUUGGCAUUCGUGAUAAAAUAUUUACAAUAACAUUAGAUAAUGCUUCUAAUAAUGAUGCAGCAGUAUCUAGAUUAAAACGAUAUUGGCAAAUAAAAGAAGAUCAAUGUAAAAUAUUUCAUGUGCGUUGUUGUGCACAUAUUUUAAAUUUCAUUGUAAAAGAUGGAUUAAAACACGUUGAUGAUACAUUAUAAAAAAUUAGAGGCAUUGCUGCGGGUCUUAAUAGUUCUCAAGCAAAACAUGAAUUAUUUUUUUAUUGUUGCAAAAUGUUAAAUAUGAAAAAAAGAAAUAUAAAUUUGGAUAUGCCCACUAGAUGGAAUUCCACUUAUAAACUUUUACAAACUAUUACAAAAUAUAGAAAAGUAGUAGAACUAUAUGAAAUACAAUUAAUUAACAAUGAUUGUGAAACAAAUAUUGAUGUAUUAAAUGAUUAUUAUUGGCAUAUUGCAGAUCUUUUAAGAGAUCUUUUUGAAGUAUUUGAUACUUCAACAAAAAAUUUUUGUGGUGUAUAUUAUCCAUCUUCAAACCGAGUUGUCAUGCAAAUAACUAAUAUUUUUAUUGUACUUCAAAAAUAUUUAAAUUUGGAUAUAUUUAAUGAUGCAAUAUUUGCAAUGAUAGAAAAAUUUAGAAAAUAUUGGGGAGAAAUACCUUUAAUUUUUUAUCUUGGUUUUGUGGACCCUAGAUUGAAAUUUGAAACUUUGGAUGAAUGGUUAACAAUUAUUUAUUUUAAUGACCAAAUAAAAAUUGAAGAAAUUAAAAAUGAAAUAAAUUCAUUAUUAUAUAAUUUAUAUAACUAUUAUAAAGAAAAAUAUGGUGAUGAUAUUAGUUCUAUUAAAUUACCACCUAUAUCUACAAGUUCUUCAUCUUUUUAUAAAGGAGCUCUAGAAAUGUUAAAAAGUUGAAAGAAGAUAACAAAUAGUUCUCCAAACAACACAACUGAUUUAGAUAGAUAUCUUAAUAUUGAUUUAAUUUCAUUUGAAGAUGAUGAAGAUUUUGAUAUUUUAAUAUGGUGGAAAUCACAACAACACAAAUAUCCUGUGCUUUCUAUCAUUGCUCGUGAUGUACUAACAGUUCUUGUGAGUACAGUUGCAUCAGAAGCUGCUUUUAGUGUAGGUGGAAGAGUAGUUAGUGAUAAACGAUGCAACUUAGCGCCGGAUUCUAUUGAAGCAAAUAUAUGUGUGAAAGACUGGACAAUAGUAGAUAAAAGGAUAUUUGAUUCUAUUCAAGAAGAAAAUAUGCUUGUCGAUAUGGAAAAACUAAAAUCAUCAAGAUCUUCAUGGAUUUGCGAUAGUUCGCCAACACCGCCAAGAGAUAAUGAUUAAAAUAUUUUACUAAAUGUAUGUCAUAUUUUUAUUUUUAUUUUUGUAGUUGAAAAGUACAAAUGAUUGACAAAUAAGUAGGUGCCAACCUAGUUGGGAUGUAUUUAUUUUGUAGUGAUGUAAACUUUUCCCACAUUUUCAAAUGUAACGUAUACAUUCAAUGAAUAAAAUAGUUAGCAAUGAAUAUUUUUAUUAAUGUAGUAUUUUCUAUUUCUUGAAUAUUUAUAUAUAUAUAUAUAUUUAAGUGGCGGGCCUACGGGCGGGCCAGCCCACCGGGCCUAAAUUGGAGCCCAUGGCUCGGUCCAUCCAAAAAUGGGCUCGAGCCGGGCCGGGCCUAGGCCAGGCCGCGGGCUUUUUAGAGACCCUUAUUUCCACAUAUACAGAGGAAUAUGAUUUUUUUUUCUUUCCACUCUAUAACAUUUAUAUAUAUAUAUAUAUAUAUAUAUAUGUUCUGUACAUGAUUGUUUGGGCCAAUUAAACUCUCAAGGGUGUGUGGAACCCUGCACUAGUCUUGUUAUAUACGGUAACUCAACUGACUUUAAAUGGAAGUUGGUGCUUUAACACAUAGCGUUAAUAUGUUUAGUAACUUAAAUUAAUUUAUUAAACAAUUCUAUAUCUUUUUAAUAUGCCAACCAAGGGAAUUAUAGCAUUUUUCUCAUUCAUGCUAAGGAAUUAGUGAAAGUAUGGAUUGUGAAGUUAACAUAUAACAACUCGCGCUUAACUGUAUAGAUAUUAUCCUCUCUAAGUCCUAAAGGGCCCUUACAGCUUUAAAAUGUAUCUACAUGAUUUAGAGAGAUCUAUACUUAUAUAGUAUCAUAAAUUUUCUCUCAUAUUCAAUAUGGGGUAUCAUAAACACCCUCUAUGCAAAUAUAACGUUCUCGUUGUAUUCCAUGAUAUUAUGGGGUAAAACAGAUAAACAAUCCUUAUAGGGCCAAAUAUACCCCCACACCAAGAUCGAUGAUUAGUUCUAAUAUCACUUAUAACGACAUGUAUCUAACCAUGUAGAUAUUUUUCGCUCUAGAAAUUGGAUAUGAGAGAAAGUUUAUGACGUUAUAUAUGUAGAGGUUCCUCUUAAUUCUAUAAACGCAUUUUAAAAUUGUGAAGACCCCUUUGGAUUCAGAGUUGAUAAUAUCUACACAGUUGGAUGAGGUUCGUUAUCUAACAUCUUAUUUUGUUAAUUAAUUUCCAACUAAUUGUCACUAUGUUCAAUGAAUCCCUUCAUCUAUAAAGAAAAGAAAAGGGGGUUGAGUUGGGAGCCUACAAUUUCUCUUAUUGUGGAUGUUUUCUGAAUGCAUUAUUGAGUAGUCAUAGAAGUGCCUUCUUAACUGUCAAUAAAAUUACAUUUGAUCUCAUUGUAACCAUAUCGAGAAGUCGAUACAUGACUCAUAUUGUAAACUCUCUCUAGAAGUUGACUACAAACUUAUUUGGUAAAUUACAAUAGUAAAAGAAAAAGAACACAAAAUAUGCACCUAGCCAAAGUUGGAUGAGAUUUACUUUUGUGAAUAUUAACAUUAAGGCUAUGUUUGGUUCGUAGAAAAUUUGAGAGAAAGAAAAUAGAUAAGAAAAUAAAUAAGAAAAAAAAAGUGAAGAAAAAUAAAAAAAAUAGAGUUGAAAUUGAUAAAUUAUAUUUAUUUACUACUUUAAAUUCAUUUUAUUUAUUUUAACUCAUCAUUAUAAAGAUUAAAAAAUUUAAAAUUUAAAAAUAUAUAAGUUCUUAAUUAAUUUUAAUUAUAUUUAAUUUUCUUGAAAAUUCUUUCUAGAACAAUCAAAUAUAAGAAAAUUAUUUUUCUUGAUAUUUUUUUCUUUUCUUAAUACUUUUCGUGCACCAAAUAUAACUUAAAAGUAUUUUUAUUUUUUAUAUAAAAUAUCACAUAUAAUUUUAUAAAAUCUAUCCUAUUAUUAAACAAAUCAAGGGUCUGUUUAAAAAUAAAUAAAUAAAUAAUUUUCCAUGGGUGUAAAUAUCUCAAAAAGAUAAUAAAAAAGCCACAUUUAAUUUACUAAUAUAAAAAAGUCCACACCUGAUAAAUCUUUUCCACCUCAUGUCUAGGCAGAUAGAAGGGAGAAAGAGACCAAAAAGACCAACUAGCUUUCUGUGGCGGUUGAGUGUUUUGACCGUUGUAGAUGUAAUUCUAUCUCAAUUUAAUCCAGGCAGCUUCUCACUUUCUUCCCCCAAAAAAUCCAUCAAUUACGUACGCACUCCCUGACACCGUGAUCAAUGCUUUCUUCUUCUCAUCUUCAACUUCAAAACUUCCAAGUUCCAAUCCUUUUACGCGUCUCAUAAAGCUAUAUAUGGACUCACAAAUUGUUAUUCACAACACUCCAAGAAUCCAAGUUCUUGCGGUAAGCAGCCAUGAUUAACUGCAGCAUAUAUGAACGCAUAUUCAAGCGCUUUGAUGAAGAUGGUGAUGGGAAACUCUCUCCUUCGGAGCUUCGACGUUGCGUGGGGACGAUAGGGGAGGAGCUACUGAUGGAGGAGGCGCAGGAGGUGGUGGAGUCGAUGGACUCAGACGGGGAUGGGUUG
This 19879-nucleotide long non-coding RNA is filed under the name Vitis vinifera (wine grape). RNAcentral describes it as "long non-coding RNA (VVIN_LNC000268)". The record is from RNAcentral. Lineage: Eukaryota; Viridiplantae; Streptophyta; Magnoliopsida; Vitales; Vitaceae.